RNAcentral lists this long non-coding RNA (263 nucleotides) under Phaseolus vulgaris (common bean). Its description in RNAcentral is "long non-coding RNA (PVUL_LNC003346)". The record is from RNAcentral. Lineage: Eukaryota; Viridiplantae; Streptophyta; Magnoliopsida; Fabales; Fabaceae.
ACAUAUACCAUCAUUUUGAGUACACGUUAUCAUUAUCAUACCUCUUGUAAUGUAACCCUACUUCUGAACCUAUUCAUCAUUUUUAGUUUUUGUGCCUUAGUCUUAUUGCAAGGAUAUGAUCAAUUCUGAAUGCAACCUCAAAAUUGUUUUUGUAUGCUUAGUAUACAUUUCAUUAAAAUUGAUUGUUUAUGCUUAGCACAUUUCAUUUUGGUACAUACACAAGUGAAAGUAAAAAAAAAAAAUUAGCCUUGUCAAGAUUUGAU